Molecule: long non-coding RNA, 281 nt
Filed under: Chinchilla lanigera (long-tailed chinchilla)
Lineage: Eukaryota; Metazoa; Chordata; Mammalia; Rodentia; Chinchillidae
Description: lncRNA (ENSCLAG00000023065.1)
Source: RNAcentral
GCAGAUCUCUGUACAGGUACAGGGAGGACAUGUGGGGCAAGAAAGUUCUCAUCCACUGGACAGAAGAAGAUUUCAAAGCACAGGGCCUGAGUCUGUGCUUAAUUGUGCUCCUGGCUUCCAUGAUGGUUUAAAAAAAGCAAACCUUUAUGGAUGAUUCCUUGGAGGAUUCACAGUCCACUCUUUAGAUGAUGUGGGUCUUACUCUCCAAUCCAAAUCAGGUAAGUCAGCUCUUAUAGGUUGAUGUAUCUGGCCUUCUUCCUUCUGUUACUUCAUAGAAUUGC